RNAcentral lists this ribosomal RNA (2070 nucleotides) under Triticum aestivum (bread wheat). Its description in RNAcentral is "partial small subunit ribosomal RNA". The record is from RNAcentral. Lineage: Eukaryota; Viridiplantae; Streptophyta; Magnoliopsida; Poales; Poaceae.
AUGUCAGUAGAGGUGGGAUGGGAGCUACUUUGGAAGAGCAUGAACAUUGGGGAAGAGAAAGAAGUGCAGAAUUUAAGAAACACAGGGAUUGAGAUUGUUCGUAAAUGUGGUCACCUCCCUCUUGCAAUCAAGGUUACCGCUAGUGCUUUGGCAAGUAGAGAUCUGACGGAGAAUGAGUGGAAAAAGUAUUUGGGCAAAUAUGCUGGUUCCCAGAGCAUGCUCUCUGAUGAAAUAGAAGAAGCUCUGUAUCUAAGCUAUGAUGAGUUGUCGCAUCGUCUGAAACAGUGUUUCCUUUAUUGUACUUUGUACGCUGAAGAUUCUGUCAUUCGGCAUGAUGAAGUUACCUGGUUAUGGAUUGCCGAAAGCUUCAUCGAGGAGCAGCAUGGCCAACUACUAGAAGACAUAGCAGCCGAGUACUACUACGAGCUAAUACAUCGAAAUCUCCUCCAGCCAGAUAUUAUGAGUUUUGACCAGGCUAGAUGCAAAAUGCAUGACCUCUUAAGACAGCUUGCUUGCAAUAUAUCGAGAGAAGAAUGUUUUGUUGGAGAUGUUGAAUCAUUAAGGGGUGAAAAUAUGUCAAAACUGCGACGUGUUACUGCUGUCGCGGCUAAGAACGAUAUAUUAGUGUUGCCCAUCAAGGAUAAGGUCGAAGUUAAGGUGAGGACUUUCCUAACUGUUCGUGGUCCACAGAGAAUUGAGGAUACAUUGUUCAAAAGAUUUCUGCUUCUUCGUGUUUUGGUACUGAAUUACACACUUGUACAAAGCAUUCCAGGCUAUAUAGGAAAAUUGAUACAUCUACGUCUACUUAAUCUGGAUUAUACUGGCAUAUCUUGUCUUCCGGAAUCCAUUGGCUCCCUAAAGAACCUUCAAGUACUGAGCUUGAGAUGGUGUGAUGAUCUGCACAGUCUUCCUUUGGCAAUGACCCUGUUGUGCAGUUUAAGAUGCCUUGAUCUUUUUGUCACAGAAAUAAAUCAGGUUCCAAAAGGCAUGGGGAAAUUGAAGCUCCUCACUUAUUUAGGAGAUUAUCAUGUUGGUGAUGGAAGUGCUAAUGAUGUUAUAAAAGAUGGAUGGAAGUUGGAAGAGUUGUCUUCUUUGUCGCAGAUGAGGUAUAUUUCUCUUGUUAAAUUGGAAAGAGCAGCUCACUGCAGUACACAUACAGUGCUUACAAACAAAAGACAUCUAAACAGACUGACACUGGGGUGGACUGAACGUGGAGAGGGGACAUAUUCAGAAGAUGAGGUUGGCAACACUGAGAAGGUCUUUGAGCAGCUAAUACCUCCACACAACCUGGAAGACCUAUCAAUUAUUAGUUUCUUUGGUCAGCGUUAUCCCACCUGGUUUGGUACCACUUGUUUGUCUUCCUUAAUACACUUGAAACUCCUGGGUGUACGAUCAUGUGUGCAUCUUGCACCGAUCUGGCAUCUACCAAACUUGAAAUAUCUGAGAAUUGAAGGAGCACAUGCAGUUACCAAGGUUGGACCUGAAUUUGUUGGUUGGAAGAAGGGUGAUCCUAUAUGUAAUGAGUUUGUUGCUUUCCCUAAACUUGAAUUGUUGAUCUUCAUGGAUAUGCCCAACUGGGAGGAGUGGUCUUUUUUUGAGGAAGAAGUUGCUAUUGCUGAUGUAAGGGGAGAGGAUGGAGCUGCUGAGAUUCGAAAAGAGGAUGCCCAACCUGCAAGGGUGCGACUGCUGCCCCAUUUGGUGUGGUUGCAACUUCGCGGCUGCCCAAAGCUGAGGCAUCUCCCGCAGCAGCUUGGAAAGGACACCCCCUGCUUGAAGGAACUCAAUUUAAGAGGACUAAACAACUUGAAGGCCAUGGAGGACCGCGCAGUCCUUUCUGAGGUCCUUAUUGGGUAUUGUGAAGGCCUUGAGAGGAUCUGCAACCUCCCUCAAGUGACAGAGCUGCGUGUAGGUGGUUGUCCAAACUUAAGGCAUGUAGAGGGGCUGGGCAGUUUGCAACAGCUGUGGCUGCGCGAGGAUAUGCAAGAGAUCUCUUCCCGCUGGGUGCCUGGGCUUCAGGAGCAGCACCAGCGACUUCAUGGUGAAGACCUGGAUGUCUACACGUGGCUUUAG